CCCUGACUGGCUCAGUCCGUAGAGCAUACCACUCUUGAUCUUGGAGUCAUGAGUUCAAGUCCCAUGUUGGGGG
This 73-nucleotide transfer RNA is filed under the name Felis catus (domestic cat). It matches the Rfam family "tRNA". Rfam says of the family: Transfer RNA (tRNA) molecules are approximately 80 nucleotides in length. Lineage: Eukaryota; Metazoa; Chordata; Mammalia; Carnivora; Felidae. The record is from Rfam by way of RNAcentral. RNAcentral also lists the same sequence under 2 other names.